Molecule: ribosomal RNA, 253 nt
Filed under: uncultured bacterium
Lineage: Bacteria
Also listed under: 1 other name
Description: partial 16S ribosomal RNA
Rfam family: Bacterial small subunit ribosomal RNA
Source: RNAcentral
UACAGAGGUCCCGAGCGUUGUUCGGAUUCAUUGGGCGUAAAGGGUGCGUAGGCGGCGGGGCAAGUCUGAUGUGAAAUCCUGGGGCUCAACCUCAGAACUGCAUUGGAUACUGCCCUGCUAGAGUACUGGAGAGGGAACUGGAAUUUACGGUGUAGCAGUGAAAUGCGUAGAGAUCGUAAGGAAGGCCAGUGGCGAAGGCGAGUUCCUGGACAGUUACUGACGCUGAGGCACGAAGGCCAGGGGAGCAAACGGG